AUAUCAAUAAGCGGAGGAAAAGAAACUAACAAGGAUUCCCCUAGUAACUGCGAGUGAAGCGGGAAAAGCUCAAAUUUGGAAUCUGGUGGUCUUUGGCCCAUCCGAGUUGUAAUUUAGAGAAGCGUCUUCCGCGCUGGACCGUGCACAAGUCUCCUGGAAUGGAGCGUCAUAGAGGGUGAGAAUCCCGUCUUUGGCAUGGAAUCCCAGGGCUUCUGUGAUGCGCUCUCGACGAGUCGAGUUGUUUGGGAAUGCAGCUCAAAAUGGGUGGUAAAUUCCAUCUAAAGCUAAAUAUUGGGGAGAGACCGAUAGCGAACAAGUACCGUGAGGGAAAGAUGAAAAGAACUUUGGAAAGAGAGUUAAACAGUACGUGAAAUUGCUGAAAGGGAAACGCUUGAAGUCAGUCGCGUCGUUCAGGACUCAGCCUUGCUUUGCUUGGUGUACUUUCUGUUCGACGGGUCAGCAUCAAUUUUGGUCGGUGGAUAAAGGCUCAGAGAAUGUGGCAUCUUCGGGUGUGUUAUAGCUCUGGGUCGCAUACAUCGGCUGGGAUUGAGGAACUCAGCACGCCGCAAGGCCGGGUACUUGUACCACGUACGUGCUUAGGAUGCUGGCAUAAUGGCUUUAAUCGA
RNAcentral lists this ribosomal RNA (626 nucleotides) under uncultured fungus. RNAcentral describes it as "eukaryotic LSU rRNA". It matches the Rfam family "Eukaryotic large subunit ribosomal RNA", at positions 40 to 647 of the family's 3401-position model. The record is from RNAcentral. Lineage: Eukaryota; Fungi.